This 787-nucleotide ribosomal RNA is filed under the name uncultured bacterium. RNAcentral's name for it is "bacterial SSU rRNA". It matches the Rfam family "Bacterial small subunit ribosomal RNA", at positions 8 to 796 of the family's 1533-position model. The record is from RNAcentral.
AGAGUUUGAUCAUGGCUCAGAGCGAACGCUGGCGGCGUGCUUAACACAUGCAAGUCGAGUGCGCGUCUGUAGCAAUACAGAUGGCGCACGGCGCACGGGUGCGUAACACGUGGGUAAUCUGCCCUUCGAUGGGGAAUAACUCGCCGAAAGGCGAGCUAAUUCCGCAUAACAUUCCUUGAACCUCGGUUUGGGGACUCAAAAGCCGUAAGGCGUCGGAGGAGGAACCCGCGCACGAUUAGCUAGUUGGUAGGGUAACGGCCUACCAAGGCUUUGAUCGUUAGCUGGUCUGAGAGGAUGGCCAGCCACACUGGAACUGAGACACGGUCCAGACUCCUACGGGAGGCAGCAGUGGGGAAUCUUGCACAAUGGGCGAAAGCCUGAUGCAGCGACGCCGCGUGGGGGAUGAAGCUUUUCGGAGUGUAAACCCCUUUCGACCCGGACGAAUGCCCCGCAAGGGGACUGACGGUACGGGUAUAAGAAGCCCCGGCUAACUACGUGCCAGCAGCCGCGGUAAGACGUGGGGGGCCAGCGUUGCUCGGAAUUACUGGGUGUAAAGGGUUCGUAGGCGGUGUAGCAAGUCGGGAGUGAAAUCUCUGGGCUCAACCCAGAGACUGCUUCCGAAACUGCUGUGCUUGAGUGUGGGAGAGGCGCGUGGAAUUGCAGGUGUAGCGGUGAAAUGCGUAGAUAUCUGCAGGAACACCCGUGGCGAAAGCGGCGCGCUGGACCACUACUGACGCUGAGGAACGAAAGCUAGGGGAGCAAACAGGAUUAGAUACCCUAGUAGUCC